Symphalangus syndactylus (siamang) is the source of this 1036-nucleotide long non-coding RNA. RefSeq lists it as uncharacterized. NCBI's taxonomy places the organism in Eukaryota, Metazoa, Chordata, Mammalia, Primates, Hylobatidae. The record is from RefSeq and is a predicted model, not a curated record.
AGGGCCGGCCUUGAGAUUUUCUUUAUGUUUGGCCUGGAUGUAGUCCAACCUUAAACUCAAAUGAAAACUUGAGAAAUGUUAUAUUACCAAAGAGCGCAUGUGUGUGUUUUGAGAUGAAGGUAAUGGAGUGGGGUGGUGGCGGCCAGCCACAAAGCGCAGCUUCAAUCCGGCUAAAUAACUAAACCCUCACGGCAGAAUCCAGGCCCUCAUGACCACACCAUAAGGAGGAGUCUUUACUACCCCAAUUCUUGUAUUUUGUGUUUGUGCCCAUCCAGGGAGCUCUCGGAACUCCUGGGUCCCAGUUCCUCACGUGGUUACUCACCUGAGCUCAAUCUCUUCACUUCUCUGAUCCUCAACUUUUCCCAUGCUCUAAAUUAGAGGUAUAAAUUGAGUGUCAGGGAUCUUUUCGUUCAAAGAACCAAGUUCUAGUGCAAUCACUGGCAAAUGUAAUUUCUAAAUGUUAAGUCAUCCAUGCUUCCAAGACGCAAUUGAAAAAUGGCAAAUGUUGAGAGGCUCAAUGCGUUUUGUUUCUUUUUCAAAGGGCCUUUCCUAUUUCAGGCAACUGGGGCUGCGUGCGUUGGUGCUGAACAGGCUGACAUGGAAAUAUCAUCAUAAACCCCAGCUGCCUGCUCUAUGUCCCUCCCUUCAGUGCACACAAGAUGGGCCCUAGACAGACGGACAAACAGAAGGCUUCCAGGAGGAUGUAUAUUCUCCAGCUGGAGCCCUAUAAAUUGGACUGACAAAAGACAGAUUAGCAAGAGAAAUGCAAGCAGCAGUUUAUUAACAUGUGCAUCCUGAUUACACAUGGAAGUACCCAGAGCAGGUCAUAAGACCUCAUGUGACAGGUGCCCUUCUUACUCCCCGAGAAAAGGAAGGAAGACACAGAAACACCAAGAAGAAUAUGGACAAACAGGCCUUGCUAAGUUCCCCCGUUUAUUAAUAACCAUGACAUCAUACUCCCUUUGUCCAAUGACACUUUCGUCAAACCUCAGCAUGAAAAUACACAGGUUUCUCUGUUUGGGGGGUGGGUCUUCAU